GGGUAGGUAGAGUAUACUAAGGGGCGCGAGAUAACUCUCUCUAAGGAACUCGGCAAAAUGACUCCGUAACUUCGGGAGAAGGAGUGCCUUAUUUAUAAGGUUGCAAUAACAAGAUCCAAGCAACUGUUUAUCAAAAACACAGGUCUCCGCUAAGUCGUAAGACGAUGUAAGGGGGCUGACGCCUGCCCAGUGCCAGAAGGUUAAAGAAGUUGGUUAGCAUUCGCGAAGCUGAUGACUGAAGCCCUGGUGAACGGCGGCCGUAACUAUAACGGUCCUAAGGUAGCGAAAUUCCUUGUCGGGUAAGUUCCGACCCGCACGAAAGGCGUAAUGAUUUGGAUACUGUCUCGGAGAGGGGCUCGGUGAAAUAGACUUGUCUGUGAAGAUGCGGACUACCUGCACCUGGACAGAAAGACCCUAUGAAGCUUUACUGUAACUUGAAAUUGAAAUUGGACUUUAUUUGCGCAGCAUAGGUGGGAGGCGUUGAGAGUAUUCUUGCGGGAAUAUUGGAGCCAUCAGUGAGAUACCACUCUUGUAAUGUUAGAUUUCUAACUUUGUAUCAUUAUCUGGUCAAAGAACAGUUUCAGGCGGGCAGUUUGACUGGGGCGGUCGCCUCCCAAACGGUAACGGAGGCGUACAAAGGUUUCCUCUGAACGGGUAGAAAUCGUAUCUAGAGUGUAAAGGCAUAAGGAAGCUUGACUGUGAGACCUACAAGUCGAGCAGGGACGAAAGUCGGUCUUAGUGAUCUGACGGUGCUGAGUGGAAAGGCCGUCACUCAACGGAUAAAAGUUACUCUAGGAUAACAGGCUGAUCUCCCCCAAGAGUUCACAUCGACGGGGAGGUUUGGCACCUCGAUGUCGGCUCAUCGCAUCCUGGGGCGGUAGUACGUCCCAAGGGUUGGGCUGUUCGCCCAUGAAAGCGGUACGCGAGCUGGGUUCAGAACGUCGUGAGACAGUUCGGUCCAUAUCCGGUGUAGGCGUUAGAAUAUUGAGAGGAGCCUUCUUUAGUACGAGAGGACCGAGAAGGACAUACCUCUGGUGUACCAGUUAUCGUGCCAACGGUAAACGCUGGGUAGCUAUGUAUGGAGAGGAUAACCGCUGAAGGCAUCUAAGUGGGAAGCCCACCUCAAGAUAAGUAUUCUCAUCACGUAAGUGAAUAAGGUCACGGUAAGACUAACCGUUUGAUAGGCAUUAAGUGUAAAUCUAGUAAUAGGUGAGCUGAGAUGUACUAACAGACCGAAGAC
RNAcentral lists this ribosomal RNA (1240 nucleotides) under metagenome. Its description in RNAcentral is "bacterial LSU rRNA". It matches the Rfam family "Bacterial large subunit ribosomal RNA", at positions 1665 to 2925 of the family's 2925-position model. The record is from RNAcentral.